Molecule: ribosomal RNA, 506 nt
Filed under: uncultured bacterium
Lineage: Bacteria
Description: partial 16S ribosomal RNA
Rfam family: Bacterial small subunit ribosomal RNA
Source: RNAcentral
AGUGAACGCUGGCGGUAGGCCUAACACAUGCAAGUCGAACGGCAGCACAGGAGAGCUUGCUCUCUGGGUGGCGAGUGGCGGACGGGUGAGGAAUACAUCGGAAUCUACUCUGUCGUGGGGGAUAACGUAGGGAAACUUACGCUAAUACCGCAUACGACCUACGGGUGAAAGCAGGGGACCUUCGGGCCUUGCGCGAUUGAAUGAGCCGAUGUCGGAUUAGCUAGUUGGCGGGGUAAAGGCCCACCAAGGCGACGAUCCGUAGCUGGUCUGAGAGGGUGAUCAGCAACACUGGAACGGAGACACGGUCCAGACUCCUACGGGAGCCAGCAGUGGGGAAUAUUGGACAAUGGGCGCAAGCCUGAUCCAGCCAUACCGCGUGGGUGAAGAAGGCCUUCGGGUUGUAAAGCCCUUUUGUUGGGAAAGAAAUCCAGCUGGCUAAUACCCGGUUGGGAUGACGGUACCCAAAGAAUAAGCACCGGCUAACUUCGUGCCAGCCGCCGCAGUAA